CCUGCUGGCUCAGUCAGUGGAGCCAUGACUCCUGAUCUCAGGGUCUUGUGUUCAAGCCCAACAUUGAGCAC
Molecule: transfer RNA, 71 nt
Filed under: Felis catus (domestic cat)
Lineage: Eukaryota; Metazoa; Chordata; Mammalia; Carnivora; Felidae
Description: tRNA-OTHER
Source: RNAcentral